UUGAACGCUGGCGGCAGGCUUAACACAUGCAAGUCGAACGGUAACAGAGAAUAGCUUGCUAUUUUGCUGACGAGUGGCGGACGGGUGAGUAAUGCUUGGGUAUAUGCCAAUAGGUGGGGGACAACAGUUGGAAACGACUGCUAAUACCGCAUAAUCUCUUCGGAGCAAAGCAGGGGACCUUCGGGCCUUGCGCCUAUUGAUUAGCCCAAGUGGGAUUAGCUAGUUGGUAAGGUAAUGGCUUACCAAGGCGACGAUCCCUAGCUGGUCUUAGAGGAUGACCAGCCACACUGGAACUGAGACACGGUCCAGACUCCUACGGGAGGCAGCAGUGGGGAAUAUUGCACAAUGGAGGAAACUCUGAUGCAGCCAUGCCGCGUGUGUGAAGAAGGCUUUCGGGUUGUAAAGCACUUUCAGCGAGGAGGAAAGGGCGUAGGUUAAUAACUUGCGUCUGUGACGUUACUCGCAGAAGAAGCACCGGCUAACUCCGUG
This 489-nucleotide ribosomal RNA is filed under the name uncultured bacterium. Its description in RNAcentral is "bacterial SSU rRNA". It matches the Rfam family "Bacterial small subunit ribosomal RNA", at positions 30 to 507 of the family's 1533-position model. The record is from RNAcentral.